Molecule: long non-coding RNA, 1012 nt
Organism: Oenanthe melanoleuca
Lineage: Eukaryota; Metazoa; Chordata; Aves; Passeriformes; Muscicapidae
Exons: 3
Source: RefSeq, a predicted model, not a curated record
UGGCACAUAAUCAGGUUUAGGUAGAACAGCUGUAAACUUUGUGUUUGAUCUCUUUUCCGUGGGAUUUUGGGUAUUGAUGUGUGGGGAUAUCUCCUAGCUCUCUAGUAAACACUUGUCGAUGUCCUCCCAUUGUGUCAUAAGUCCCUGAGGCCGAUAUCCGUCUCUGCAGCCACAGAUGCUACUGCUUUUUCCGGAAUCCACUGUUCGAAGUUGAAGACCAACGGCUGCAAGACUUGUUCAAGCAUCCUCUUUUGUAUAGUGUUUCAAGUGCUGCCCCAGAUGGACAUCUGUAAUCUCAGACAGCGAUUCCCUAGGACGAAGGAGAGCCUUUGCCUCACCUGGACAGCUCAGGUUGAUGCGACAGAAUUGGAGCGGCCUAACAAACGUACGAUCGGCCGCGUUCCGGAGCACCUCGAAACCUUUCCGUAUCACGCGUUGGGAUUUCUCAUGACACAGCAUCCCGGGCGUCCCUCUGUGCAAAGUCAAGCGGUAAAGGAUUGAAUAACUGACAAGCGGUGUCUGGGAUUCAAAUGGUUCUGUUAAAAUUAAGCAAAGAACGCAAUAAGAAAAAUUAUCAUCCUUUUAAUGUCUGAAAUAGUUUGGAAUAAAAAUGCUGGGAAAAGGCAUUUUUGUAUUUGAAUUGGUGUCACCUGGAUAUAACCCCACAGCGAGCAAUCAGAGCAGAAAUGCGAAAGCCGGGAUUCUGCGACUCCUGCAGAGGACUUAAUUUUCUUUUCCUCCUCUCUUUUAGGACAGGAAAAAUCAUUACAGUCCUCUCAUCUUUGCCAAAAGACGUGGCGUUUCAGCAGCCAAAGCCAAGAGGCUUCAGCACCAGGGGUCUGCGCUGGAGGGCUCCUGGUCCUGCCCGUACUGUGGGGUUUGCAGUUUAUUAUGAGGGUGUGGGUGUAAGAAAGAGUGUGGAGCAUGGAGAGUAAGAGAUAAGGGGGUGAGAGAGAGAGAUUAGAAAUCGGAGGUAAGAGGUAAGAGAGAGCAAUUUUCCAUUCACAAUACA